CCCCCCCCCCCCACACACACACACACACAAACAAAGAGGCGUUAGGCUGAGACGCUGAAAGUCCGGAUUUAAAGUGCAGAAAAUUAAGCCAUUGAAUCUGCCUGUCCAUGACGUAGUAAGACACACUAUGAGCUAGUAUGAUCCGACCAGACCUUACAUCAGCAUUGAGGAGUUGUCGGAGAAGAAAGAGGCUGAUUGAAGCGGGACAGAUGACAUGGAUCCAUCCUUCCACAGCCAGGAGCGCACCGACCUGUGUCCCACACUUCAUAUAAGACUGGAAGCUACACUGGAUCUCACAGCUACACACCACAGACGUCUACACACUGGAGAAGAUUCAG
This is a long non-coding RNA of Limanda limanda (common dab), 338 nucleotides long. RefSeq lists it as uncharacterized. Lineage: Eukaryota; Metazoa; Chordata; Actinopteri; Pleuronectiformes; Pleuronectidae. The transcript has 3 exons. The record is from RefSeq and is a predicted model, not a curated record.